CCCUUUCACUCUCCAUCCUUCUUUCAGCUGCCUGCAGGCCUGCCCCCCCCCCCCCCCCCACGCACAUGCCCGUCUGAUCAACGCAUUUACGAUGUGUUGUGACAUAGUGUGACAUAGGCUGCUUGUGUCUUUGGUGUUCAGACACGUCUUGAUCACGCACGCCGCGCAUGUUCCGACGCUGCGGUUCUCCUAGGGACCAAAACAACCAAACGAAUGAUGUAAUGAAACAAUUUUAUGUACACAAGUAUAAAAAGUAAUAGUCCAAUAUCAGUUUUACAAAAGUAAUGUGACUAUGAUUCAUAAGGAUUUGUAUUUAUAUAUUUAAUGGGAAUGUCUCUGUUUAUGACACGGCAACUGAAACACACGCUGCACACCUGCUUGUUAUUCCUCUCUAAAGUAAACACACCAGGCCCUUAGGUCCCCCCCCCCUCAGUUUCCACCAUGUUCUCCCGUGUGUUUGUCUGCUGUUGUUUAGUGGUUCUCAGCGUGACCCCACACACGACCACACGCAUGUUCAAAGAGGGGGGCAGGUGCCACCGAUGACAGGAUCCCGGUUGAAAGGUAAAUGGGAGGUCUGCACGGGAGUCACUGGGAAUGUCUGAAAACACAACAUCUGGAGCGAACUAAGUGCAUCCCAAUCUGAUCAAUAUCUGUGGAGUCGAGGCGGGUUUGGAUCAGAAGCUCCGUGAGCGUGUAAGUUAUUUCUGAAACCACUUCUGAGCCAGCACGGUCCUGGAGCAACGGAAAAAUCCCUCAUUUACACUCAGGCACCCAUCAUGUCUAUCAACCACUGACGAUACCCCCCCCCCCCCCCCCCCCCCACACACACACACACACACACACACACACCUAAAUGACUGAAGAUUUGUUACACGGGCUCUGGGAUUAAAUCAGAAAGCUACAAUUAGCCACUCUAAACACUGAGGGAGUGUAGCAACUAGCCUCCUGCCUCCGCUGAGUCCCCUCACAUGGAAAACAUAAGUGACGUAGCGCCUAAAUGCUGUGAUAACAUUUGAAGACAAGGUGGGGGGGGGGGGCAGUGCAGGGGUAUGUGCCUUAAUGCAUCCUCUGGGUGUUGAGGAGGACAAAUAAGAGGAGGAAGAGCCGGCUCUGCUCAGUACUUCCCAAACAGAAG
Molecule: long non-coding RNA, 1135 nt
Filed under: Takifugu rubripes (torafugu)
Lineage: Eukaryota; Metazoa; Chordata; Actinopteri; Tetraodontiformes; Tetraodontidae
Description: lncRNA (ENSTRUG00000032896.1)
Source: RNAcentral